Molecule: small RNA, 725 nt
Filed under: Pongo abelii (Sumatran orangutan)
Lineage: Eukaryota; Metazoa; Chordata; Mammalia; Primates; Hominidae
Description: retained intron
Source: RNAcentral
CCCCCGGGAGGCGGAGGCUGCAGUGAGCCGAGAUCGCACCACUGCACUCCAGCCUAGGCAACAGUGAGACUCCAUCUCAAAAAAAUAAUAAUAAAAUAAAUGUUUAUAUGUUUCAUUUUUGUAAUUUAAGAGGGAAAAAAUAUAUGUAUUUCGUACCUAUUUUGGCAACCUAAAAUAAGCCCUCGUUACAUGAUGCCACUUGAAACAUCUGUAGACGGCUGUUACUGUCAUACAGAAAUACCUGGAACAUUUCACUAAGGGCAUUGCUAAGUACAAAAUUAAAAUAUUGUUAUUUUGCCCCAGGAGGUCAUUUUCAGAUCGUAAUAAAAUUGCAACCUAAAAUGCUGCUUAUUAAAAUUUUUCUCUUGACUAAAAUAACCAAGAAGUGAUCUGCUUCAUAAUUUUUCAAGAUCCUUGUUUGUAGAGGUAUUAUAUAUGGUAUAUUAUUUUAUUUUUAACCUAACAGAAUUAAAACAAGCUUCAGAAAGUAAGCUUUUAGAAAUACAGACUGAAAAGAACAAACAGAAGAUUGAUUUGGACAGUAUGGAAAACUCAGAGAGGAUAAAGAUCAUACGACAAAACCUACAGAUGGAGAUAAAAAUUACUACCGUUAUUCAACAUGUGUUCCAGAACCUUAUUUUGGGGAGUAAAGUCAAUUGGGCAGAGGAUCCUGCCCUUAAGGAAAUUGUUCUGCAGCUUGAGAAGAAUGUAGACAUGAUGUAAUA